CGGACGGGUGAGUAACGCGUGGAAAACCUGCCGUAUACUGGGGGAUAACACUCAGAAAUAGGUGCUAAUACCGCAUAAGCGCACAGCUUCGCAUGAAGCGGUGUGAAAAACUCUGGUGGUAUACGAUGGUUCCGCGUCUGAUUAGCUAGUUGGUGGGGUAAUGGCCUACCAAGGCAACGAUCAGUAGCCGGCCUGAGAGGGUGAACGGCCACAUUGGGACUGAGACACGGCCCAAACUCCUACGGGAGGCAGCAG
RNAcentral lists this ribosomal RNA (255 nucleotides) under uncultured bacterium. RNAcentral's name for it is "partial 16S ribosomal RNA". It matches the Rfam family "Bacterial small subunit ribosomal RNA", at positions 99 to 354 of the family's 1533-position model. The record is from RNAcentral.